AGGUCAGGAAUUGAGAAAGAGAGAAAAAUUGUGAGCUAGGUAUUGAACCCAUUGAAGAAAGAAGGGGAGUGACCUUGGGGUCUGUAAACAACAGCUGACCGGAUUUUGAUUUGGUGGUUGAUAUGAAAAGUAUGGGCCUCAAAGUAAGAGAAGAUACUACUGAAUGAUGGAGAAAGGAGAGAAGCUGAAACUGUCAGUGGAGAGCAUGGGGUAUUGCCGCUUCACUAACCCAACCAGUGAACCAAGAAUGAGUAAAAGUGCAACCGGGAUUGGAAAGGGUGAUCAGGAAAGCUGUGUCAUCAGGAGGAGCUGUGUUUCAGUUAGAGCUAGCAGAUGUAGGAGAGGAAUAGAUUUCAUAUGAAGAAAAGUUUGUUGUCUAUGAAACAGUUCUCCACAUCUCAGCUGGGAGAUUGGACUGGCAAUAGGAGGUUGGAAUUGUCUUGUGUUAGCACAGAAAAAAGUGGUUGCUUUGGGGCAGUUGGAAGACACCUGUCCCUGCUCCUUGAAGGCUUUCCUCAGGGGACAUGUUGCACUUAGCAGGAGAUCCAAGGUACAAAUAGGAGGAGUUGAGGAAGGAGAGCAUUUCAGAUACGGAGGACAGUAAGAAAAAAUGCCUGAUAUCCUGGUUGAGGGGCUAACACGUCCCACGUGGGGAGGAAUCAACACUACAACGAGUAUGGCGUUCCCUCCUCACUACCUGCUGCCCUUGGAUACCUCAGAACCCAUGCUGCUGGCCAGGCAGUGGGAAGGCCCCCUGCCCCAGGCUGCCCAGAACCCUUCCCAGCUGCCUGGCUGGAGCCACCAACUCUAUUUCUUUCAGUAAGAUGGAGGCCUACCAGGACUUACCAGCUGCUCUGCCUCUACAACCUGAAGAUCCCUGGCACUGUCAUCCGAAUCAAAGCACCUCUGGGCCUUGCCAUCAGCCCUGUAGCUGACCUGUUAUCUAUUGUCUUCCCUGAAGAAAACAUGAGCUUUCUGAGAGCAGAUAACUGUCUUUCUUUUUCUAUUUGUACCUCCAGCUUUUAGUGUAAUGCUUGGCAUAUAGUAAGUGCCUAAUAAA
Non-coding RNA from Phascolarctos cinereus (koala), 1060 nucleotides. The record is from RefSeq and is a predicted model, not a curated record. Lineage: Eukaryota; Metazoa; Chordata; Mammalia; Diprotodontia; Phascolarctidae.